This is a long non-coding RNA of Fundulus heteroclitus (mummichog), 5614 nucleotides long. RefSeq lists it as uncharacterized. Lineage: Eukaryota; Metazoa; Chordata; Actinopteri; Cyprinodontiformes; Fundulidae. The transcript has 3 exons. The record is from RefSeq and is a predicted model, not a curated record.
GGUAUGAUAGUGAGAGGGGCUGAGACGGUAGCAGAAGAGCCAGAGCCAGAGAAGGAGCAACUGUCUUCAUUCUGGGGCAGACGCAGAGAGAAGGUGGCAGCUCAGCCUCCGCUGUCCUGAAGUCAAGCCCAUCCACUACGAGAUCACAAGAACACGAUGCACCAAAUGUGUUUCCUUUGACUGAACCUGAAGAGACUGGCUGCCCAGAACACACAGCCUCCUUCGACGAGUCGAUGCGCAGACCGGUGGCAGCUGGAGCCGAAGACUCAACGUCCAACGAUCAAAAUCAAGUGUUUUCACCAAACAUGCUGCAGCAAAAAAACAGGGAAAGUACAGUACGGUGCAGAGAGGUGUUGCCUCAUUUCUUCAAAUUUUGGUUUUAAGGAGCAAGGUUUUUUUAUGAACUUUUUAAGUUGGUCUUGAUCAACAACGUUUUUUACUUUAGCUACUUGUUUUUCACUAAUCUUAGGUCCAGAUCCUGGUAAUUUCCAGCAGAAUUUUUUUGUUUGUUGAGCGACAUUUCCCUUUGGACCCCAAAAACAUGCAAAUUUCAUUGGCUUCUUAAUUGAAACCCAUUUUAAAAACUGUGAAAAGUUUUCUCUUUGAGGUCCAGAGUGCAUAACUGAGGGUUAAUUUGUGACAAAAAUAGAUGAAAACCUAUCAGUUAUUACAAAACAAAGAAGAAAGCUCAUUAUGGGUAUAAAGUAGAAAAGUUUAAAGUUGCACAGUUUACUAAAGGUUAAUUUGGAAAUAACCAAGGAUCAAAUCAGUAAAACACCUAAUUAAUGAAUUUAGUAAUUUGCAUUUUAAUUGAAAAUGUGUAUCUCAUAUCAACAUGCCACCAACAUGUCAUAAGCACAGUGAUUUAUUGCAUCAAUAUGACUAGUGCAGUCACGCAAGUGGCAUUUAUUGACAGAGUUGAAGAAAACCUUUAUUAAAGUAGGCACCAGAUUUAGCCAUCAAAAUUACUGAUCUAUAAAAUAUUUGGUAAUGAGUUUAAAAUGCAUUUCAUAGACUGUUUGAGCUUCUGAAUAUAUACUUGACUUUAUUGAGAUUUUUUGUUUUAUCGCUUUAAUUUGUUUACCAUUCCAUUUCCUCUUAAAAAUCUACCGAACUUCUUAACUGAAGAUCACAAACACCAAGCAGAUUUAUCUAAAAUGUUACAUAUCUUAUAGCCUUUAUCUUCAGCUGCAGUCUUUGUGCUCUGCAUAGCAAGCCCCAUUCUUACUGAAGUCUGAUUAGUAAGAUUUAAUCUUUUAGCUCAUUCUCAAUGCUUUAUCUCAUGAGGUCGUUCAUUGGUGCGUCAGCUCUCCUCCACCUCCCUACCCUCAGUGCACCUAUGUUGCAUAAUUAAACUUGAAUUAGAUCAUUAGCAUACAAAGCAGGAAACCUACCGCCGUGGAGUCAUACAUAUUUAUCUGGAUGUGCCUGACUUAUGCAUGCAAACCCUCAUACUGUAACCCCUUUUGCAUGCAAACACGCCUGUUUCUCUUGUGCAGGAAACAAGCAAGCGCAGACUAUAGUGGAUAUUAACCAUAGGAUGUUGGUUUUAAGAAGCAUACAUUUAUCUGUCAAUCCAUCCGAGUGAGUACAAGGUUUUCAUCCAAGCAAGCUAUUCAAAACGUUUGACUGUAGAGAAUGUGUGCAUUUGGAUAUGGAGCAGAUGGAUUUUAAUGAGGAUCAUUUGGGCAGGUUGCUUUCAGCGCAUCAGAUAUUGCUUGCACACAGAGGAACGUUCUGAAACGAAUAAUGCCCGCAGUCCAAACUCAUCUGCUGCACAUUAACAAACAGAAAAGACAAACAAAGAACACGACCUUCUGAAUAAUCAUGUGUUGCCUCAUGAAUGACUCCUUUUCUCUCUCCUUUCCCCCUCCAUCCUUUCCACCAGAAAUGAACUUUCUCCUUAACCACCCGCCCUACUUCCUGGGGAUCACUUUCCAGCCUUCUUUUUCCUUCCAGCUGGGAGAACAACUCCCUCCUUUUGCAGCUACGUGGACUCCUCCAUUAGUAUUCCUUCCUCCUUCCCACUUUUCCCUUCCUCCUGUGAGAUUGCUGUUGUGUCUUAUGGCUUUUUAUUCCUACGUGAUGUUAGAUGGGUUCAUGUAGGAGUAGAAGCCACUAAACACGCGGUGAGUGCUCGACAUGCUGGCCAACACAUGCAGAGAGCUUCCUGUGGAUAUGACAGCUGCCAUGUUCACAUCAAUGUCCUGCCCAUUAUCCUGAAUGCACACAGGGUUUAAAUAUAGUUCAGGGAGAUUUGGACCAGAUUCACAGUCUGGUCCAAAUUGGAAUGAAACUAUAGAUUUGUAAUGUUUUUCAGCCUCUUUCAGCUAAAAAAGCAAUCCCCGGAGUAGAGCAGCCUUAACAGACCUCCUUUCCCCAGCUGCAUGCUGGCUGCUUGUCUCGAAUUCGAAAUUAAUUUCUUUAUUUCCCGGCCCUGCAGUCUUUGAUCAAAACUGCAGCUGGAAGGAUCUCAAAACCACUAGCGAGAUAAAUUGACUCACUCAGGUAGGUCAUUCAAUACUGUCUGAAUCUAUUUGCUGUUCCCCUGUGAAGUUGAGAUGAAACAUGUUGGGUCACAGAAACAGGCUGCUUUACAUCCCUCUGUUUACCAGUGAUAAAAGCUUUACACAUUGUCUGUAGCACUACAUAAUACAGUCUAUACUUUGACAGAACUUCAAAGUCUUUACACAAACGUUGACAUUACCUUCCAGGAACCUAACAGGUACUUUCCCAGAAUUUACGAGGUACUUCUCUGUCUUACCGAGUGCUUUUCUGAAGCUUGGAGGUUAACUAUUCAGGUGCAUACUAGGAACUUUCUUGGAACCUACUGGUACUUGGCUUCACAAAGGUUCUUUGAAAGUGGGCGGUAAGUUCGAGAAAGUAAUUGAUAAUUGCCAGAACGUUGUCUCUAAGUUCUGGGAAGGGUAACUGGUAAGUUAUAUCGAAGUUCCAGGAAAGUAUCUAGGAAAAAGUUCUGGGAAAGUGCAACCUGUUAUGUAGAGCUAUCAGAUUGUCAAAUCAUUACUUUAGAAGUCGUUUAAAGAACUUAACGUCUGUAACUUUAGAGUUCUUCAACAGAACACCAUGGAUGUGAUUGGUUUUUUUUAACCCUGAUUUUUAUGCUUUUGUAUCAUAUAGACAGACAGUGGACUGUUUUUUACAUCCUUUUUACAUCCUAUAUUUCUCACAUAAUAUAGUGAAAGCAACGCGACAACAUGCUCCAAUAUGAAUUAUCUUUUUCGAAAAGGAUCAUCAUGUCAAAUAUUUCAUCAUAUCAAUCGUAGACUUGUCAAUUGAAUUGAAAUGGUUUAGUAACAGACUUUUUGAUACCAGCAAACAUUGUAUCAUCAUCCAAACAACUCUAUAUAACGACGUAUCAUGAUACCUGAUGAGCUACACCUCUACAUGUUACACAACCGUGCAUAAGUUUAAAAACAAACUUCUUUGUUAUAAAAAGUAUCAAGUUUGCUUACAGUCAGAUUCAAUUAGAAUAUUAAGUCAAUUUGUAUCAGUAACCUAAUUAACUAAGGUAAACACGUUAUAUUGAUUAAUUACUCACAGACUGUUUUAAGGCCCUUAUUUCUGUCAUUAACGAUGAUUUUUCUUUGUGCCUAUAUAUCAUAACAGCACAAUUAAGUUUAGAAAACUACAUCAAAUGGAAAAAGAAGUACAUUUUUCAUAUAGAAUGUGGACUCAAUUAAAGGUAUUUUAAUACUAGCUUAAAGAUGGUUGUUUUCAGAAAGGAACUUUGUAAUCUGACAAAUUGGCCUCAUUGGAAUGUAUACUCAAAUUUAUUAAAUUACUAUAGUUUUAGAUGACUCAGAUCCCUCAAAAUUAGCUGACUAGUCAUUGACUUAUCUAGGCAUAUUAAAUGAUUAUCAUCCCUGCUCUCUCUGAAGUCUGAACAGUAACAUUUCUAGUUGCUCCAUUACUAAAUCUACCUUAUGUCUUAAUUUUCUUUUAGAAAUUGGCUACAUCAAUCAUGCCUCAACCAUUUUGAUACUGAUUGAGGCUAAAAUGCGUUCAAGUCUGAUAGGCAGACCAGAUUUAAGAAUAAUUUAAGUGCUACCUGGAUAGCAAAACAGGUGUUUUAAACAUACAUAGGGUGGUUCAUUUGGAAUAAUUUUGGGUGGGACCAAAAAACUCAGUCACGUUCUGAGGGCGUUAUUUGAAAAAAGGUUGCAGGUCUAAAGAGAUGUGCUUAAAAUGCACUAGGAGACCAACUCUGGCAGUUUUUAGACUUUGAUAGGGCCACAGUCUAAUGCGAUGGAUUUCACCGUACAUCACAUUAACUUGUUGAGUAUUUUAGACAUUUCAGUCAAAGUGGAAGAAGUUAGUCACUGUAGUAACCUUGAAAAUCCAGGUUUUGAAUAUUUCCAACAAGCCCUCCUGAUAAGUUUCUCAAUGCCUUUAAAACUUCAAGACAGGAAACUAACUCGGAGCAACCCCUUUCAUUUUCCUCCCUAAAUUAUGUACAAAUUCUGGCACCCUAAUAAUGGCACGGCAGUAUUUUUCCCCUGAGCUGAACUCGGUGUCAACUAAUUAAGCAAGAAACUGAAAUUAUCCUGCUGGUGGGUCUGUUCGUGUGCUGCGGGGUUUGGGUUUAAAUGUCAACUCUCUGUUUGUAUUUUCUGUGAAACACGCUGCCAGCCUGCUCGCCUUACACACAAGCUGAAUAAAGUCUAAACAGGCAGAAGCCAAGAGCUGAAUUAUUAAUCCCUGGAUAUUACAAGAAGCUGACACAUGUUUGCAGUUGUGGGACAUUGCUUCUUCGCUGAUAUGAGAUGCAUAAUAAUUUGAGAUGAAAACCAGAUAAGUUCUGCCUAAGUUUAAUGAUUAAUUUUAAAGCUGUAAGAUGUUGUGAUCUAAAAUUCAAAGGGGUGGGUUGACAAGUUUCUGUUGCUUGCAUUAUCUGUUUAAUUUAUUUUUCAGGUUCCCACUCCCACAUAGGCUUUUUUCUGCCUUAUUGAGUCGUGAGGGGGUCUGAGAGAAUAUUUGAACAGAAGGAAGACAUUAAAGAAGGCAGAGGAAGGCUUCGAUUUUUUAAACCUGUGGGGGUCCAUGGGAAUCUAAAGGUGGGAAUCCACAGUGAUGGAGUCUAUGGGAAAGAGCCUGCAUUAUUUACAGCGGCACAGGCUCAUAAAGAGAACGACGUGUUUGAAUAGAUUGCUGCUGUCUUUUUGUCUUGCCCAGGGGUUUGUUCCACAGUCAUGAUCCAACCAGACUGCAAACCUCGCAUUCAAAUGUCAAAACGAUAAGACAGACAGCACUUGGGCUCAUUUUAAUAUUGAUAGCUGCUCAUUUUUUCCAAAUUAUGACUUUCAUGACAUUACGGCUCUUGAUCAGAUUCUGCAAGGUCGCUGAAUCCUCAACGUCAGGUGGAAAUCAUCAACUCUGGUGUAGUGGGAAUUCCUCUGACAGAUGCAAUAAUGUGGUGUGUUUGUGUACAGUAGGUUUAAUGUAUGAGUGUUGUUCUACUUUAUCUCCAGCAUGCUUCAGGCUCUGCUUUGAUUUUCCUGUAAUAAAUAAUGCUCUUUUGUCUUCUGUGCUGCAUUUGUUCCCAGUUGUAAUCUUUCUACUUCUCAAUAAAUUAUGAAUAAUGCAAGUUCAA